ACACAUGCAGUCGAGCGGAUGAAGAGAGCUUGCUCUCUGAUUCAGCGGCGGACGGGUGAGUAAUGCCUAGGAAUCUGCCUGAUAGUGGGGGACAACGUUUCGAAAGGAACGCUAAUACCGCAUACGUCCUACGGGAGAAAGCAGGGGACCUUCGGGCCUUGCGCUAUCAGAUGAGCCUAGGUCGGAUUAGCUAGUUGGUGAGGUAACGGCUCACCAAGGCGACGAUCCGUAACUGGUCUGAGAGGAUGAUCAGUCACACUGGAACUGAGACACGGUCCAGACUCCUACGGGAGGCAGCAGUGGGGAAUAUUGGACAAUGGGCGAAACG
RNAcentral lists this ribosomal RNA (328 nucleotides) under bacterium ocnta93lb343onp9.8. Its description in RNAcentral is "bacterial SSU rRNA". It matches the Rfam family "Bacterial small subunit ribosomal RNA", at positions 51 to 381 of the family's 1533-position model. The record is from RNAcentral.